GGGGUGGGGGCUGGCGGAGAGGAUGGGUGGGAAAGGUUUCCAGUGACAAAGCAGUAGCGAUCCUGUCCCCUUGGCAUUAAGGGAAAGGGGGAGGGGAAACUGGACCUGGUUUUCUGCAGGGUGGGGCUGUGGUAAUGCCCAAGGGAGGAAGGGAGGGAGGGAGGGAGAGAGAGAUUUUCAUGCAAAAUGUGUCCCAGAGAAGGAGGGAGGGAUUCGGAUGCAUUUUGCUGCAUUUCUGCCCAGGCAUCAAAAAAGAGAGAGAAAUAUUUGGGGGGGGGCGUUGGUGGAGAAGUAAAAUAAUUUAAGACACACGACUGAUCCAGAUUCUUUUCCCCCAACCUUUGACGCACGCACACUCCCGCUUCCGAAAAUAAUAAAGACCUCCCCAAGGGAGAAAUCGCAAUGGAGGCAGGUGAGGGACAGGUGGGGGUGGGGGGUGUCCUCACAUCUAAUACAAAUAGGUAAAUCAAUGGGGGGGCGACUUUUUAAAUGCCUAUUAUGAUCAGGAAGAAUAAGCCCCUCCCAAUCCGCUUUCCACCUCUGUUCCCCAAAUGGAUCCAUUUGCACAAACCUGUUGAAGUAUGAAAGGGGGGGGGGAGGACGCUUGCCUGACCACCAGUCCCUCUCUUCCAAGCCACUGGGUGCAAAGAGGAGGAGGGAGACAAUGAGGAAGACCAGGGAGCAACCGACCACGCCUGUUUUGCAACCCACGGACCGUUACGCGAACCAGCAAGCCGCCCAGGUCGCUCGCCGGGGAUGCUGCGCCGCCGCGUCUCCUUUUAUUGCGCCGUCUCCGGCUUGGUGUCACCCGCCUCUCCCGGACCUGGAUCAACCUCAGUGCCAGACCUCGGUCCCCACCGAUCGUCCCGGGGAAACGGGGCGAGACAGCAAGCGAGGGGGGCUAAGUUAGCCCUCGUCGCGACGCUGCUGCAACAGCGCAAUGCUGGAAGCGUUUAUUCGCAGGAGAGAGGCAUCUCCUCCUCGCCCGCCGGGCACCGUGACCCUCGAGGGAGGGCGAUCUCGUCCCUGCGGAAAGGGCUCCCCCAUCACCCGCAGCCGCUGCAGCGCCACCGCGGCCCCUUUCCACGCAGCGCCACCAGCCACCCAGACAGAGAUCGGCGACCGAGUGCCAACGUCUCUGCGAUCCGCAAGGGGAAGGCAACCCCCGCACCCCACCCCCAAAUCUACGCAUAGCCCUCUCGCUCGGUUUAGCAAAGCUGAAAGGAAAUCGCCUACCUCUCCUGGCGAGGGUGGUGGUGCUGGUGGGGGGCCGGGGGGGGGUCCGAUCUCCUUCGCCCUUGUAUGCAAUGCGGCGCGCUCCCUCUCUCUCAGCAGUGGCGGCGGCGGCGGCGAAGUGCAGGAGGAGGAGGAGGAGGAGGAGGUGGACUGGGAGGAGGAGGUGUCUGAAGCUGAAGUUGGCAACAGGGCUUAGUGAGCUGGGAGAGUCGGUGGUAGAGAGCAGUCCAGAAUCAGGGACAGAAGCUGGAGAGGAGAGGAGGGAAGCCAAGAGGCAGAGAUGAGUCUGACUGGUGCAGAAUCACAGGUGUUUCCACCUCCUAUGGUGACAAGCUUGAUCUCUAAGGGAAACCCGUGCCCCAGCAAUUUUGUUUGCAAAAAAAUAGACUGCUAAAUGGGUAUGUCUCUGUUAUGUAAAGUGGAAGGCCAAGUACAGGUGACUUGUUGCCAUUGGAGGUGGAUGAUGGGAGUUGCCCCAGGAAGGAGGGCAUUUCUUUCUUCAUCCCCUACCCUGUCUAGAAGUGAUGCUCCAAUUGUCUGCGUGCAAAAAAACAACAAUACCAUGGCAGUUUGAUACGAAAGCAGCUCCAUGGUGGGAGUUCUUUGAGUUUACCAUCCCUGGUUGCAUAAGAACACGUGUUGCCGUCUGAAGUGGAAUGCGAAGGAGGCCAUUAGAGCCUCUCCCAGUGACCUGUGAGGACAUAAUGUCCCCUUUAAUCUCCUCUUUGCCGCUUUGAAGAGUUUUCAGUUCGCCCAGAUCAAUGGCCCAGCUGGAGAGUUUACUCAGCUGUUUCUGAGGUAAUGCCUCAUG
Molecule: long non-coding RNA, 2047 nt
Organism: Podarcis muralis (Common wall lizard)
Lineage: Eukaryota; Metazoa; Chordata; Lepidosauria; Squamata; Lacertidae
Source: Ensembl